UACGUAGGGUGCGAGCGUUGUCCGGAUUUACUGGGCGUAAAGAGCGCGUAGGCGGAAGCCUAAGCGGUGCCUGAAAGCCCCCGGCUCAACCGGGGAGGGUGGUGCCGAACUGGGCUUCUUGAGGGCGAUAGAGGAGAGUGGAAUUCCGGGUGUAGCGGUGAAAUGCGUAGAGAUCCGGAGGAACACCAGUGGCGCAGGCGGCUCUCUGGGUCGGCCCUGACGCUGAGGCGCGAAAGCGUGGGGAGCGAACGGG
RNAcentral lists this ribosomal RNA (253 nucleotides) under uncultured bacterium. RNAcentral describes it as "partial 16S ribosomal RNA". It matches the Rfam family "Bacterial small subunit ribosomal RNA", at positions 524 to 776 of the family's 1533-position model. The record is from RNAcentral.